CGUCACACUAUCAUUAACUGAAUCCAUAGGUUAAUGAGGCGAACCGGGGGAACUGAAACAUCUAAGUACCCCGAGGAAAAGAAAUCAACCGAGAUUCCCCCAGUAGCGGCGAGCGAACGGGGAGGAGCCCAGAGCCUGAAUCAGCAUGUGUGUUAGUGGAAGCGUCUGGAAAGGCGCGCGAUACAGGGUGACAGCCCCGUACACAAAAGCGCAUGUGCUGUGAGCUCGAUGAGUAGGGCGGGACACGUGGUAUCCUGUCUGAAUAUGGGGGGACCAUCCUCCAAGGCUAAAUACUCCUGACUGACCGAUAGUGAACCAGUACCGUGAGGGAAAGGCGAAAAGAACCCCGGCGAGGGGAGUGAAAAAGAACCUGAAACCGUGUACGUACAAGCAGUGGGAGCACCCUUUGGGUGUGACUGCGUACCUUUUGUAUAAUGGGUCAGCGACUUAUAUUCUGUAGCAAGGUUAACCGAAUAGGGGAGCCGGAGGGAAACCGAGUCUUAAUUGGGCGUUAAGUUGCAGGGUAUAGACCCGAAACCCGGUGAUCUAGCCAUGGGCAGGUUGAAGGUUGGGUAACACUAACUGGAGGACCGAACCGACUAAUGUUGAAAAAUUAGCGGAUGACCUGUGGCUGGGGGUGAAAGGCCAAUCAAACCGGGAGAUAGCUGGUUCUCCCCGAAAGCUAUUUAGGUAGCGCCUCGUGAAUUCAUCUCCGGGGGUAGAGCACUGUUUCGGCUAGGGGGCCAUCCCGGCUUACCAACCCGAUGCAAACUGCGAAUACCGGAGAAUGUUAUCACGGGAGACACACGGCGGGUGCUAACGUCCGUCGUGAAGAGGGAAACAACCCAGACCGCCAGCUAAGGUCCCAAAGUCAUGGUUAAGUGGGAAACGAUGUGGGAAGGCCCAGACAGCCAGGAUGUUGGCUUAGAAGCAGCCAUCAUUUAAAGAAAGCGUAAUAGCUCACUGGUCGAGUCGGCCUGCGCGGAAGAUGUAACGGGGCUAAACCAUGCACCGAAGCUGCGGCAGCGACACUGUGUGUUGUUGGGUAGGGGAGCGUUCUGUAAGCCUGUGAAGGUGUGUCGUGAGGCAUGCUGGAGGUAUCAGAAGUGCGAAUGCUGACAUAAGUAACGAUAAAGCGGGUGAAAAGCCCGCUCGCCGGAAGACCAAGGGUUCCUGUCCAACGUUAAUCGGGGCAGGGUGAGUCGACCCCUAAGGCGAGGCCGAAAGGCGUAGUCGAUGGGAAACGGGUUAAUAUUCCCGUACUUGGUGUUACUGCGAAGGGGGGACGGAGAAGGCUAUGUUGGCCGGGCGACGGUUGUCCCGGUUUAAGCGUGUAGGUGUGUGUUCCAGGUAAAUCCGGUUCACUUUAACACUGAGGCGUGACGACGAGGCACUACGGUGCUGAAGCAACAAAUGCCCUGCUUCCAGGAAAAGCCUCUAAGCAUCAGGUAACAUCAAAUCGUACCCCAAACCGACACAGGUGGUCAGGUAGAGAAUACCAAGGCGCUUGAGAGAACUCGGGUGAAGGAACUAGGCAAAAUGGUGCCGUAACUUCGGGAGAAGGCACGCUGACACGUAGGUGAAGUGAUUUACUCAUGGAGCUGAAGUCAGUCGAAGAUACCAGCUGGCUGCAACUGUUUAUUAAAAACACAGCACUGUGCAAACACGAAAGUGGACGUAUACGGUGUGACGCCUGCCCGGUGCCGGAAGGUUAAUUGAUGGGGUCAGCGCAAGCGAAGCUCCUGAUCGAAGCCCCGGUAAACGGCGGCCGUAACUAUAACGGUCCUAAGGUAGCGAAAUUCCUUGUCGGGUAAGUUCCGACCUGCACGAAUGGCGUAAUGAUGGCCAGGCUGUCUCCACCCGAGACUCAGUGAAAUUGAACUCGCUGUGAAGAUGCAGUGUACCCGCGGCAAGACGGAAAGACCCCGUGAACCUUUACUAUAGCUUGACACUGAACAUUGAGCCUUGAUGUGUAGGAUAGGUGGGAGGCUUUGAAGUGUGGACGCCAGUCUGCAUGGAGCCGACCUUGAAAUACCACCCUUUAAUGUUUGAUGUUCUAACGUGGACCCGUUACCCGGGUUGCGGACAGUGUCUGGUGGGUAGUUUGACUGGGGCGGUCUCCUCCUAAAGAGUAACGGAGGAGCACGAAGGUUGGCUAAUCCUGGUCGGACAUCAGGAGGUUAGUGCAAUGGCAUAAGCCAGCUUGACUGCGAGCGUGACGGCGCGAGCAGGUGCGAAAGCAGGUCAUAGUGAUCCGGUGGUUCUGAAUGGAAGGGCCAUCGCUCAACGGAUAAAAGGUACUCCGGGGAUAACAGGCUGAUACCGCCCAAGAGUUCAUAUCGACGGCGGUGUUUGGCACCUCGAUGUCGGCUCAUCACAUCCUGGGGCUGAAGUAGGUCCCAAGGGUAUGGCUGUUCGCCAUUUAAAGUGGUACGCGAGCUGGGUUUAGAACGUCGUGAGACAGUUCGGUCCCUAUCUGCCGUGGGCGCUGGAGAACUGAGGGGGGCUGCUCCUAGUACGAGAGGACCGGAGUGGACGCAUCACUGGUGUUCGGGUUGUCAUGCCAAUGGCACUGCCCGGUAGCUAAAUGCGGAAGAGAUAAGUGCUGAAAGCAUCUAAGCACGAAACUUGCCCCGAGAUGAGUUCUCCCUGAGACUUAAAGUCUCCUGAAGGAACGUUGAAGACGACGACGUUGAUAGGCCGGGUGUGUAAGCGCAGCGAUGCGUUGAGCUAACCGGUACUAAUGA
This 2747-nucleotide ribosomal RNA is filed under the name Salmonella enterica subsp. enterica serovar Enteritidis. Its description in RNAcentral is "partial 23S ribosomal RNA". It matches the Rfam family "Bacterial large subunit ribosomal RNA". The record is from RNAcentral. Lineage: Bacteria; Pseudomonadati; Pseudomonadota; Gammaproteobacteria; Enterobacterales; Enterobacteriaceae.